This 320-nucleotide long non-coding RNA is filed under the name Jatropha curcas. RNAcentral describes it as "long non-coding RNA (JCUR_LNC002824)". The record is from RNAcentral. Lineage: Eukaryota; Viridiplantae; Streptophyta; Magnoliopsida; Malpighiales; Euphorbiaceae.
UUUGGUGUUAAAGGUAAGCCCAACUCAUUAUAAACCCAAUAUUAAAUAAAUAAUUGAAUUGAAUUUGAUUAAUUGCUCCUAGGCCCAGAUUCUCAACAUGGUAUCAAAGCCUGGGACCCGAACCUGUAUGAGAGAAGUUCCCGUGUUGGGUCGUACCCUGAUGGACCCAUGUGUUGGGCCAUCGUAUGCUUGUCAAGUGGGUAGUCCCACUUGAGGGGGGAGUGUUGGAAUAUGUGGGUAAUCCCACAUCGAAUAAAUACAACUAAAUGAAAUGGCAUAUAAUGUGAAGGGUGAACCAACCAAAAUGGCUUAAGCCAUUU